This 497-nucleotide ribosomal RNA is filed under the name uncultured bacterium. Its description in RNAcentral is "partial 16S ribosomal RNA". It matches the Rfam family "Bacterial small subunit ribosomal RNA", at positions 28 to 507 of the family's 1533-position model. The record is from RNAcentral.
GAUGAACGCUGGCGGCGUGCCUAAUACAUGCAAGUCGAGCGAACCGACGAGGAGCUUGCUCCCCUGACGUUAGCGGCGGACGGGAGAGUAACACGUGGAUAACCUAACUCUAAGACUGGGAUACUUUCGGGAAACCGGAGCUACUACCGGAUAAUUUAUUGAACCGCAUGGUUCAAUAGUGAAAGACGGUUUUGCUGUCACUUAUAGAUUGAUCCGCGCCGGAUUAGCUAGUUGGUAAGGUAACGGCUUACCAAGGCAACGAUGCGUAGCCGACCUGAGAGCGUGGUCGGACAGCCGGGAACUGAGAAACAGUACAGACACCGACGGUAGGCAACGGUAGAGAAUCUUCCGCGAGGGAGGAGAGCGGGACGGUGCAACACCGCGUGAGGGAUGAAGGUCUUCGGAUGGGAGAGCGCUGUUAGUAGGAGAGAAGUAAAGUGUUUGUAACCGGGCUCAUCAUGACGGUACCGGGACAAUAAGCCACGGCUAACUACGUG